This 594-nucleotide ribosomal RNA is filed under the name uncultured bacterium. RNAcentral's name for it is "bacterial SSU rRNA". It matches the Rfam family "Bacterial small subunit ribosomal RNA", at positions 338 to 947 of the family's 1533-position model. The record is from RNAcentral.
CCUACGGGAGGCAGCAGUGGGGAAUAUUGGACAAUGGGCGAAAGCCUGAUCCAGCAAUGCCGCGUGAGUGAUGAGGGCCUUAGGGUUGUAAAGCUCUUUUACCAGGGAUGAUAAUGACAGUACCUGGAGAAUAAGCUCCGGCUAACUCCGUGCCAGCAGCCGCGGUAAUACGGAGGGAGCUAGCGUUGUUCGGAAUUACUGGGCGUAAAGCGUGCGUAGGCGGUGAUUCAAGUCAGAGGUGAAAGCCUGGAGCUCAACUCCAGAACGGCCUUUGAAACUAGAUCGCUAGAAUUAUGGAGAGGUAAGUGGAAUUCCGAGUGUAGAGGUGAAAUUCGUAGAUAUUCGGAAGAACACCAGUGGCGAAGGCGACUUACUGGACAUAUAUUGACGCUGAGGUACGAAAGCGUGGGGAGCAAACAGGAUUAGAUACCCUGGUAGUCCACGCCGUAAACGAUGAUAACUAGCUGUUCGGGCUCUCAGAGCUUGAGUGGCGCAGCUAACGCAUUAAGUUAUCCGCCUGGGGAGUACGGUCGCAAGNUUAAAACUCAAAGGAAUUGACGGCUGAGACCGNGCGAGACGACGACGAGGGAGAGG